Protobothrops mucrosquamatus (brown spotted pit viper) is the source of this 822-nucleotide long non-coding RNA. RefSeq lists it as uncharacterized. The transcript has 4 exons. Lineage: Eukaryota; Metazoa; Chordata; Lepidosauria; Squamata; Viperidae. The record is from RefSeq and is a predicted model, not a curated record.
GAAUUUCCUGCUGAUUUCUCAUCCAGGUAGUAGUAAGGCCUGACCAAAUUCUAGUGGACUCAACUAGGUCCCUGGAAGGGUUGUGUAGUGCCUCAUUUGGCUCCAACAAACUACCUUGUUUAGGACAGCCAGGUUCCUGAUUUUGGGACAAUAACCAGGAGAAGGUGUUGAAGAAUGCUGGGCCUAAGGCAGACUCCUGGGGUACACCACUUCAUACUUCUCUCCAUAAAGAUGUAGUUCUGUUGAGGAGUACAUGCUGAAUGUGGUUUGCCAGCCAGUUACAGAUCCAUUUGGCGGUGAUGCUGUCUAUAUUAUCAAUAAGUAAGCAGUUUAUUCUGGACGUUAACUUUCUCUCCUCAUGAAGGGCUUGCGGAAAAUCACUCUAAACCUUUGGAUGAUUUGAAUCAAGACGUUAAUUUCAAUGUUGAUAAUCUCUACAUUUCACAGAUUUUUAGUAUCUAUGAAUAUUAACAUGUGUGGAGAAGCAAGAAAUGGGGAUCGGAGCACUUUAAAUUCAAAUACUUAAUUGCAAUUGAUUUUGUAACAAGCUUAUUUAUUUAAAUCUAUAUUUAGACUACUUUACUAAUUUGGUGAAUGAAGGACAAUUUUAAAAAAGUAAAACGAUGCCUACUUUUCUCUUUUUUUAUUUUGGAAUGUUGCACUUGUUGCCAUUCUUCUGAUUCAUUUUGAGGAUUUGACUAGUGAUUAAAUGACCUCUCCUAGUCUUCAGCCAGCAAAAUCAGUCCCGCACUGCAGAACUGCUUGAGCCCAGGCCUGAUACUGUGGUUGAGUACCAUGUCAUUUUAUUAAAGGGAUUCUUCA